Molecule: ribosomal RNA, 594 nt
Filed under: Triticum aestivum (bread wheat)
Lineage: Eukaryota; Viridiplantae; Streptophyta; Magnoliopsida; Poales; Poaceae
Description: partial small subunit ribosomal RNA
Source: RNAcentral
AUGUCGGUGCCGGAGGCGGGGCAAUCGGCGGGGAGGGACGAGCAGGAGAUGGACAAUUACGAGCAGCACCAGACCAGAGUGCUCAUGGCGCUGAUGCAGGGCUUGUGCGCCGCGAGGUACCGCAAGGCCGACAACACCCCCUGCCUCGUCGACCAGGGCCUCUACCUGGGUUCUGUUGGAGCAGCACUGAACAACGAGGCUCUGAAGAGCUUGAACAUCACCCACAUCUUGGUUGUUGCCAGAUCACUGAAUCCCGCCUUUCCAGCAGAAUUUACAUACAAGAAGAUCGAGGUACUUGACAGCCCAGACACUGAUUUGGGAAAGCAUUUCGGUGAAUGCUUUACUUUCAUAGAUGAGGGUAUCUGCACUGGUGGCAAUGUGCUGGUUCACUGCUUUGCAGGUCGGUCACGGAGUGUCACAGUUGUUCUUGCAUAUCUUAUGAAGAAGCAUCAGAUGAGCCUGCAAAGUGCCAUGUCACUAGUUAGAAGCAAACGACCUCAAAUAGCACCCAAUGCGGGCUUUAUAUCCCAGCUGGUGAACUUUGAGAAGUCUCUGCAAGUGGAGCAGGGACAAAGAACGUUGCAAUCUAACUAA